GCUGCUGCUUUUAAGGCAAAAUUAAUCCUGGGCAUAUGACACCACAACUACAGGGUGUACAGUGAUUUGUUUCACCAAAUAUUUUGUUCGCUUAUUAAUAGGUUAAAGGUAAGUAUUUCCAUUGCAGUAAAGUUGAUGAACGUUAAUAAAAAAAAAUUAAUAAUAAAAAUUACAAAUUGAAUGACAAAUUUAAAACUAUUUGCUCAGGCCACCCAAACCUGAGUUGGGUGGUUACUGGGGGUUACUUCAUCUAUCAGCCUACAGUGUGAUUCCUGUUUGUUAAUGACACACACAGUGCACGUUUCUACCUAGGUUAUUGAGCUAUUGGCUCAGACACACAUAGUUAUUUAGUCAUUAGUUAAAUAAACCUAAGGUACAACACCCAGGUUCAUUGUCACGGUUGCCUUAUAAGGCGAAAGGAAGAACAAGGAGACGUGGCUGAACUCAAAGUAAACAGUCUUUAUUAAUCCAACACGGUGUAACUAAAGGCAGGCAGAGACACAUAGGAGAAAACAUCAAUGUUCAUUACCCGAUGCUCCACUAGAAACAACACAGGGCCUAAGUAAUAGGGAGUAAACUAGACAAUUAAACACAGGUGAUUUAAAUAUAUACUGUAUAAUUAUAAUGUGGUAAAAAGCAUCAUCUGGUUCUUAUCAGAGAAGGAUUUGGUGUACUUAUACACUGUCCCCAUUAAAUAAAAUACAAAUCAUAUGCGGAUAUAUAUAUAUAUAUAUAUAUAUGUGUGUGUGUGUGUGUGUGUGUGUGUGUACACAGUACAUAUAUAUACCAGUUUAUGCUUCAGAUAUUCAACUUCAUCGCCUGAUCCACAGCUACUGAAAACAUUUUCUGCAAUCUGGAUUUGAUUUGGAAUUGAUGUUUGUUUGUAGAGAUUGACCAUGGAUCCCUCUUUAAACAGGAGGAUGUGUGAAGCGUGACCCCAGACCAAAGCCACCGCUUCCUUUUUGGAUGUUUCUAUGCCUCAUGGUUUAUGUUGCUUGCUGCAUGAUGUUGGAUGGGACCCACUUUUGUCCGAUUGAUAAGAUUCCAGCCAGCUGUCGCUUCCAAAUCGCACAUGGUGUCCCUCGAUACAGGAAUGACCUUCACAGCCAACUACCCAUGACACUCAUUUGUCCUUUUCUAUUCCCAGUGACUUCUUUACUUAAUGUGCUUUCAGUCAACAUAAAUUCAGAAUUCACUGUUUAGUUGAUUCACUUCUACAUGUUCUUCCAAAGGAAAUGUUUGUCUUUGUUUUAUCAAAUCAUAAUGUAAUGAGACUCUUCUACUGAAGUAACUGCCUUUCCAUUAGGUGGCAGGGGCUGGUUAAAGCUAAUAGCUAAUGGUUAAUAGUUUAGUGAACAGUAAAGUCUAAUUACUCUGGUCAGACUCUUAAUAAAUAAAUAAAUAAAUAAAUAAAUAAAUAAAUAAAUAAAUAAAAAUGGAUACCCUGUUUCCUAUCCAGUACAGGAAAUGUAUAUCUUAAACUGU
Long non-coding RNA from Cyprinus carpio carpio, 1485 nucleotides. Lineage: Eukaryota; Metazoa; Chordata; Actinopteri; Cypriniformes; Cyprinidae. The record is from Ensembl.